This 468-nucleotide ribosomal RNA is filed under the name uncultured bacterium. RNAcentral's name for it is "partial 16S ribosomal RNA". It matches the Rfam family "Bacterial small subunit ribosomal RNA", at positions 28 to 507 of the family's 1533-position model. The record is from RNAcentral.
GACGAACGCUGGCGGCGUGCUUAACACAUGCAAGUCGAACGGAAAGGCCCUGCUUUCGUGGGGUGCUCGAGUGGCGAACGGGUGAGUAACACGUGUGUAACCUGCCCUUGACUUUGGGAUAACUUCAGGAAAGGGGGGCUAAUAUCGGACAGGAGCCCCCGUAGCAUGGUGGGGGUGGGAACGUCUGGGCGGGUGGGGCUGGACUCGCGGCUUAUCGGCUUGUUGGUGGGGGAGUGGCUUACCAAGGCUUUGGCGGGUAGCCGGCCUGAGAGGGUGACCGGCCACAUUGGGACUGCGGUACGGCCCAGACUCCUACGGGGGGCAGAGGUGGGGAAUAUUGCCCAAUGGGCGGAAGCCUGAUGCAGCAACGCCGCGUGCGUGAUGACGGCCUUCGGGUUGUGAACCGCUUUCGCCUGUGACGAAGCGUGAGUGACGGUACUGAGUAAAGAAGCACCGGCUAACUACGUG